CCUACGGGUGACAGCAGUGAGGAAUAUUGGUCAAUGGCCGAGAGGCUGAACCAGCCAAGUCGCGUGAGGGAAGAAUGUCCUAUGGAUUGUAAACCUCUUUUGUCAGGGAGCAAAGUCACCCACGUGUGGGUGUUGGAGAGUACCUGAAGAAAAAGCAUCGGCUAACUCCGUGCCAGCAGCAGCGGUAAUACGGAGGAUGCGAGCUUUCUCCGGAGUUAUGGGGUUUAAAGGGUGAGUAGGCGGGUUAUCAAGUCAGAGGUAAAAUCGUGGAGAUCAAAUCCAUCCAGAAGUGGAAUCUGAUGAUCUUGAGUGGGAGAGAAGUAUGCGGAAGGCGUGGUGUAGCGGUGAAAUGCAUAGAUAUCACGAAGAACUCCGAUUGCGAAGGCAGCAGACCGGCGCCCGACUGACGCUGAAGCACGAAAGCGUGGGUAUCGAACAGGAUUAGAUACCCGUGUAGUC
This 459-nucleotide ribosomal RNA is filed under the name uncultured bacterium. Its description in RNAcentral is "partial 16S ribosomal RNA". It matches the Rfam family "Bacterial small subunit ribosomal RNA", at positions 338 to 795 of the family's 1533-position model. The record is from RNAcentral.